This 1239-nucleotide long non-coding RNA is filed under the name Sorghum bicolor (sorghum). RNAcentral describes it as "long non-coding RNA (SBIC_LNC015124)". Lineage: Eukaryota; Viridiplantae; Streptophyta; Magnoliopsida; Poales; Poaceae. The record is from RNAcentral.
CUAGUGAACAAGGUGCUCAGCGAUCACCUUCGGUUAGCCACAACUUAAUUUACAUAUUGGUUUGAAAACAUAGCCCAAUGAAUCUAAUAAGUCACCAGUUGUGCUUGCAGGACCACGAAAGAUGUCAGCUGGUGCUAAUUGAUUUAACAUUUACAGCCUGGCUAUAUUUGAAUGGAUUUCUAGUUGGUGACUCAUUCAUUUGAGUGGGUAAGUGCCUGACAAUGUUUCAAUGUAUUGUUUCGGUCUCCCUAGUCUAACUGCAUAUAAAAUAGCAGCGAAUGGAGCAGAAAACCAGUGUUUCUGGCCGCCCAAGUGAUCUUGCUAUGGAAAUUGUGUGUAGGAGUAGGAAGCAUCAGGAGCACAUAUAUUACUAGUUUGUCCGAUGGAAGUAAGAUAUAAGUGAGCAGUGGCGCCAAAUCACCAAGCCUCGCCAAUCCUAAGAACAGGACUGAAGGAUGGUCGGAGCAGUAUUAUACGGUGCGUUGCCUUCAUGUAUGUUUCAGCGAAGCAUCCAAGGAGCCAGGUGCGUGCACCAGUACAUAGGAGAUGCUCCUCAUCAUGCUAAAUUCUGAGCAGUGUACGGGAUGAAGCGCAGUAGCUCAAUGGCAUGAAGUCCUUGCUUCAAUCACGACUGUACUCACAGGAUGCACUUCAACCAACCCAUGUAAAUUAGUACAACUUUUCUGUCAGGUUUCAGAUCCAGAGGUUUCUGCAAUUGAGAAUUCAGAACUUGAUGUCGUGCCUAGCUUUGUACCAGCAGUUGAACUGAGAACCUUGAUCCAGUCCCGGAAUGACAAAGUGGCAAAUUGCACAUAAGGGCGAUGACAAUUAAUUUGCUACCUCAUUGUGGUCCUUCGUGAUGGCGAAUGGAUACACUCACUCAUGUCUAUCGAGACAUGCCAAUGACCAUCACCGUCUUCUUGGGCCAUUAGAGAGGAGCCAUGGACAUCAGCAUCAGGGUCGAGUGCAAGAAACGAACAUACUGAUCUUCGGGAUAAGCCUAAAAGGAUGCUACAACUAAGGACAUAGUUUACACAAGGCAUAUGUAUGAGGAGAUGGCAUGCACCUCUGUUUUGCUGGAUCCAAUUUGGUAGAAUGGUCAUGUACCUUCCUGUCUAAGCCUGAAACUGAACUGAAUACUACGAUUGAAAAUCAAAUCAAAUCCACUUCUUUGUCUGAAUUCGAGUGAUGGUUACACUCCAUGCAUUGUAGGUGUAUGCACAUACUCUAGCUGGACCG